GAAGAUAGUGGCGAACGGGUGAGUAACGACGUGGGUAACCUGCCCACUAAGAGGGGAGUAACAUCCGGAACGGGUAGCUAAUACCGCAUAGUUUCUUGGUCGCAUGAUCGGGAAAGGAAAGACGGCCUUUGUGCUGUCGCUUAUGGAUGGACCCGCGGCGUAUUAGUUAGUUGGUGAGGUAACGGCUCACCAAGACGAUGAUACGUAGCCGACCUGAGAGGGUGAUCGGCCACAUUGGGACUGAGACACGGCCCAAACUCCUACGGGAGGCAGCAGUAGGGAAUCUUCCGCAAUGGACGAAAGUCUGACGGAGCAACGCCGCGUGAGUGAAGAAGGUUUUCGGGAAUCGUAAAACUCUGUUGUCAGAGAAGAACAAGUUGGUGAGUAACUGCUCCAGCCUUGACAGUAUCUGACCAGAAAGCCACGGCUAACUACGUGCCAGCAGCAGC
This 449-nucleotide ribosomal RNA is filed under the name uncultured bacterium. Its description in RNAcentral is "bacterial SSU rRNA". It matches the Rfam family "Bacterial small subunit ribosomal RNA", at positions 88 to 518 of the family's 1533-position model. The record is from RNAcentral.